Molecule: long non-coding RNA, 2266 nt
Organism: Lycium barbarum (goji berry)
Lineage: Eukaryota; Viridiplantae; Streptophyta; Magnoliopsida; Solanales; Solanaceae
Exons: 2
Source: RefSeq, a predicted model, not a curated record
CAACUUAUAAGCUGAAAACAACCCAACUUAUUUUUUUUGGCUAAAAACAGCUUAUAAGCUACUUUUUUUAAGCCCAUCCAAACAGGCUCAUAGCAAUGAAACAAAUGAACCCUAACGCGAACCUAGCUGGCUGAAGCAUUUUUUGGACAAAAUUCAAGCUAGUUUUAUCAUCUCCAGUUCUUGCUCGGCCGUUUAAGGUUGGUUCGUCGUCGUUGGUGGAAAGUGAUCAACUCCACUCUCGUCGCCCUCGUUGCUCCUCGGCAAAAAGGUAAUCUUCUCCUUCUAUUUCGCAGUUCUGUUUUUCUUUCAUUUUGUUACUGUUUGUAAUUUCUGUUUGGGUUUUGAUGUUAUUCUAGUUCUAUCUUUGAUGUGUUUAUAUUAGUCCUUUCUUCAUCUCAUUUAGAUUCAGUAUGGUUUAGUUAAUAAAUUUCAUGGAUGUUCUAGUUUUGCUAUUGUACGAGUGUAAAGCAUGAGUUGUUUACAGUUUUCUGAGGCACUCUAUCUGUUCAUUGUGAUUAUGGAUCAAGUAGAUUAUUCUUGUGCUGAGAUUGUGUGUAUUGUUCAAGUUUAAUAUUCUGUAAAACCUGUUUUCAUCUACUGUUAAGGUUGUGACAAACAUAACCUUUUAUGUCUUUAAUCAUGUUUAAAUUUUUUGUACAUUGUUGUAACUGUUUCUAGUAUGGUUGAGGACAGGUUGUUUGUGUCUCAUGUAUCCACUUCAACUAUCUCACUAAAUAUUUAUUAGACUCAAGGUUUAUGUUCAAAUGUAACAUAGCUAAAACAUAUCUGUUGUGCAUAGCUUAGUUAUUAUUUCUUCAUAAGCUAAAAUUUUUAGUGCUAGUUAGUUUUAUCCAUAAUUUUGUUUGAGUUUUUUUGUAAGUUGAAGCUUCCUUUUAGGAAGGGCAUAUGCCUUCGUUCCCCUAUUCAAGUCUUAUGUGCUUAUUUUUUGUGAAUGAAGUAAUGAAUAUUAGCUUGCCGUCCUUUAUGUGACUAUAAAUAUGUUGAAUGUUGGUUGAGUGUAGUGCAAGACCUGUUAAGGGAUUUCAUGAAGGUUGUGCUGUGAUUUCUUUCCCCUUUAGGCAGCUGCUGUUAAUGCUUGUUCUGUUAUGAAAUGGUCACUGAUUCUGUCCUAAAUUCUCUUUAAAAAUAACUGAACCAGAUACUUAAGCUUCUGUUCUUUAGGCUAAAAGAAUAAGUAUGUGCUCAUCUACUUUUGAAAUCUGAACUUUAGUUUUUAUUUAAUAUGUUAAACACGACUAAGUUAUCGUAAUAUUUCAAUAGUUGAAACAUUUCAUAUUCUCUUGAUAGUAUCCUGCCAAUGUCUUUACUUUUGGAUACUCAUCCUUCACCCCUCUUUUCUUUGCAUGACCUGGGGAGUUUCAAAUCCCAUAUGUCUUGAAGUAUUUCAUGGAUGAGCUGCUUCCUUUAAAAGAGUGGAUACUGCAUCCGAACUAAGGGCAGUAUUGCUGCAUUUUUUGGCUGCCAUUCGAUGCCUAUUUCGAGACGAAAUGUAGUUGCACUUGACUGUUGUAUUUGAGGCCUACAAAUGAUAUGUUUAAGGGAGUGGUUGUCGCAUUUUAUGGACUGAUAUUGAGGUUGAAGUUGCUGCACUUUGAUCAGAUUUGGUUUUCAUUACUGCUGUCUUUAGCCUAACUGUUGCUGGUUUCUUGGGCUAAAUACCUGCUGCUUUAAGGUUGUUUUGGGACAGUUGUUGUGCUCCUGAUGUUUUAUUGAUUUGAACAUGAUACUACACUUAGGGAACUGCUGAGUUUUAAAAGAAACAGAUGCUAUACUUGAUGAGAGUAUAACGCUAAGCUUAAUGAAGCAGCUGCUACCUUGCAACUACUUUCCUGUUGCCUACAGCUGAGUUUAUACAUUUAGUAUGAGUUGAUUUUCUCAACACAACUGCUGGUGUUAUGAGGCUCAAAAUGAUGUACUUUUGGCUGCUAUGUUCAGUUGUUUGCUAUGGCAUUUUGAACUGUAUUUUUAGGCAGCCUUGAAGUCAGAUGUUGUCACUCCCCAAAGGCAUGUUGUUGUUUUGUUCUUGCCCUUUGCUGCUGCAAACUUGUGGCCAAAAGUUGUUGAAUAUGGUUACUUUGUGCUUGAGUUGUUUUGAUGAAUAAGGUAAUGGCUGUUAGGAGAAUAGCCACAAUGUUUAGAAGCUGAUGUUGGUUGAUAAGAGCUGUUGUACCAUUUUCGGAAUGAGCAAAUGUUGCACUGUGAUCUUCACUUUGAUAUGAGCAAAUACUUCCCCAUUUGAUACUUA